GGUGGAGAACAGAAGCUGCAACUCACCUUCUUAGAAAAGAUGCUAUCUGGAAAACAUCUACCUGAGAAGAAGAAGCAGCAGUAGAACCCUGAGAUUACCCUGGCAAUGGCUACUAUAGCAACCCAGCCAACGAAGAAGGCAACAGCUUUUAGGAUAGCAGCGGCUUCUGUAUCUGUCACCAGAGGGCAGCUUUCACCUCAGGAGCUUCCCCGAGAUUGAGCGGUCACCUCAACUAGCCAUAAGACAGAGCAGAAGGACCCUUAGACGUAACAGAGGGGAUCUAAGAAGGAGUAUGGAAAGAGUGUUUUCCCCCCACCCAUCCAGAAGGACUAUCAAAAUCAGAUGGGCCAUCAAGGAACAUCGCUAUAUCAAGAAUUGGUGACUGGCCGUAUCACACCUUGGAAAUGCUACAUGUCAGGAAGCUCAUCCUAUGGAAGGAAAUAAAACAAAGACACAGGAAAAUUUUCCUUCUCUCUGCUGUUUGAAUUCUCACAGGGCCAGAGACUCUAAACUGAGGCAGAGAUCCCUAGAGGUUACCCUCUGGUCUGCCUUGAAAGACAUCUUGAUUUGACAGAUUACCACAUUACUGUCAUCUUUCGGAAUCAUCGAUAGCAACUCAUUCGGAGGUUCCAUUGCAGAGAAACCUGCCUAACCUCAGACCUGCCUCCAUAAUCUCAGGAUUUUUAUUGGUGCCAUGGUUGUUGGUGGACGAUGGACCCUGCAGUUCAGCUCCUUUCAAAAAGGCUUUGAUCUGUUCAACAGAUUUGUGGUAUAUGUAGCAGAUUUUGUUCCCACAACCAAAUAGAAUUUUUUGGGCAUACUUCAAACUCCUGUGUUUCUUGAACUACAUUGUUUUCAGGUAAAGACAAUAUUUGAUUGUUUCUAAUUUGUUCACAAAAUGUUUUAACAUGAACUAUAUGAGAAUUUCUUAUAUUUCUGUGCAGUGUCUUCUCUGCAUUAUCAGUGAUGAAAUUAAAGCAGAUCCACUGUUUAAAAUAAAAAUGUUUACUAAUUUCUUUUUUUAAAAGUACAGUAAUUACCUACAUUUAAUAUUUUAAGUAUAUUCCCAAUACAACAAUGCCCAGAAUAAUCUGUAUACCUGUCCUCACCCUACCACUGCCUUUUCCCGGAAAUUGAAUGUAAAUCCCAUAUAGUUUUAAUAUAUCUUUUGCUAUAGGAUCUGAUGGUAUUAGAGUCCAAAUACUUAACUGUUACAGCAAGCACUAUUGCACUCCCUCAUGCUUACAUUUUAAAUCUCUCUUUGACCCAUGACCAUAUUCCAAAUAAAUGAAACAUGCCUUGAUUUUUCCCAUCCAGAAGACAGACGAUAACAUGUCUGUUUCAGACUAUAGGCGUGUUACUCUUCAGCAAGUCAUUUCUAAAGAUAUGGAACAAGUACUUCAGUCUUUAAGUUUAAUAUUACCCUUUCAUAUUUUGAUCAAUUUACAGUCUUUCUUUGUAAUCAGUUUGGUUUCUUCCCAAGCCCAGUACAGGGGAUGCUUUAUUGCCAAAUCUGUGUCUUUGGUAUGAUGUUCUGGAUAAGGGUUAUAUCAAAGACAACAGUUCUUGAUCUGUCUAGAGCGUCUCACACAGCCCCUUUGUUUAAACAAAUAUAUAUAUGGUAAAUAUACCUUAACAAAGCAACUCUCUAGUUAUCUGCAUUCAAGGUCACAAAGUAUUGUUAAAGGUGUUUCAAACAACAAGGACCCUUUGUCAUCUAGAAUUCCUCUAUAGAAUGUUCUUGGCUGGAAUCUAUUUUUAUAUAUAUAUAUAUUAAUAAUAUAAUCUCUUAGCAGCUCUCAAUAAAUAGUAGGCUAAUUUGCAUUAGUGAAGACACAACACUUUAUAAGUCAGUGUUUAAUUCAACUGAUCUUUCUGAUUUCCAGUCUGAUGUAGAAGUAACAUUAGAAUAUAGCUGGUUCCAAUAGCAUUUAUAGACACAGUAACACAAAUACCAUUCUGAAUUAAGAGUUAACAUUUGAAAGUCAGUAACUGAAGAAAAGACUUAAAUACAUAGCAUUUAAAAAGGAAUACUCAUUACUAUGGGCCAGAUACUGCCAUCCAAGUGGCAUUCCAAUGGGACUAACUGUGGAAUAAUGUGCUAUUCAAUACAAGUAAAGGUAGCAGAAUCUGGCUCCUUUGGUUGAAAGAAAAUUUAAUUUGUCAUAAAGAUACAAACAUUAGGAUAAAGAGUGGAAUGACAGUUUCUUAAAGAUGCAUGUCAAGGUCACAGGGCACCUCUGGUUUCUCUGAAUGCACCCCAUUAGGUUUCAGGCCUCGGGCCUUUGGCUUUUCUGGGAUGGAAUUCUACAAUUUUCCCCCUCCUAGACCAGGCCAUAGACUAGAGUACCUUGUUGUUGGCUGACUCAUAAACUCAGAUUUCUAGGUCAGAAGGGACCAUCAUGAUCAUCUAGUCUGACCUCCUACACAUUGCAAGCCACAGAACCUC
Chrysemys picta bellii (western painted turtle) is the source of this 2449-nucleotide long non-coding RNA. RefSeq lists it as uncharacterized. The record is from RefSeq and is a predicted model, not a curated record. NCBI's taxonomy places the organism in Eukaryota, Metazoa, Chordata, Testudines, Emydidae.